CCUACGGGAGGCAGCAGUGAGGAAUAUUGGUCAAUGGGCGCGAGCCUGAACCAGCCAAGUCGCGUGAGGGAUGACGGUCCUAUGGAUUGUAAACCUCUUUUAUAAAGGAACAAAGGCCGGCACGUGUGCCGUUAUGAGUGUACCUGAAGAAAAAGCAUCGGCUAACUCCGUGCCAGCAGCCGCGGUAAUACGGAGGAUGCGAGCGUUAACCGGAUUUAUUGGGUUUAAAGGGUGCGCAGGGGGGUAGUUAAGUCAGCGGGGAAAUUUUGGGGGUCAAACGUCGAAGGGCCUUUGAAACGGGCAGUCUUGAGUACGGGAGAAGUAUGCGGAAUGCGUGGUGUAGCGGUGAAAUGCAUAGAUAUCACGAAGAACUCCGAUUGCGAAGGCAGCAUGCUAGAGCACCACUGACGCUGAUGCACGAAAGUGUGGGUAUCGAACAGGAUUAGAUACCCUUGUAGUC
RNAcentral lists this ribosomal RNA (460 nucleotides) under uncultured bacterium. RNAcentral's name for it is "partial 16S ribosomal RNA". It matches the Rfam family "Bacterial small subunit ribosomal RNA", at positions 338 to 795 of the family's 1533-position model. The record is from RNAcentral.